CAGAUAUGCAUGCAGGCAAAACACUCAUACAUAAAAAUAAAAUCUAAAAAAAAAUUAAACGUUAAGUAAACGUUAAAAUAAGUAACAUUUUUCUUUUGCAUAAUCAGUGCUUAAAUAACCAGUCCUUAAUCAAAUGCAAUGAUAAACCAUUGCAAAAUUAUUACUGUAGGAAGGCCUUUGUUUUGUUUUUCUAAGACAAAGUCUUACUAUGGUGCCCUGGCUGUCCUUAAACUCAAUAUGUACACUAGGCUGGCCUGCAACUUAUAGCAAUCCUCCCGCCUCUGUAAUUCCAUCUCCAAUUUCCAAAUAAUGGAAUUACAGAUGUGAGCUGCCAUGUUAGCCUAUAAAACAGUUUUAAACAUAAAAUAAAACCCACCUGUUAGUACAGUUUAAUUCUGAUAAAAAAAAUUCAGAAAUCAACUUUGGGGAAGGGGGAAAAGCAAACUAUUUCGGAGUGAGGUUCUUUAAUAACAUUAAAACACAUAUGGUCAACUGGGCAGUGGAGGAACACACCUUUAAUCCCAGCACUCGGGAGACAGAGGCAGGAGGAUCUAUGUGAGUUUGAGGCCAGCCUGGUCUACAGAGCGAGUCACAGGACAGGUUCCAAAGCUACAAGAAUACCUGUCUCAGAAAAAAAACAAAAGAAAACAACAUCAACAACAAAAAUAUAACAAAAGCACAUACGGUCACUAUUACAAUGACUCCUGUAACCUGCUUCCUUCAUCCACCACAGGUCUACUUUCUGGACAGUUUAGGACUGAUGUCUUACUCCUGUUGGGUGACACUUCAGUAAAUGCCCUGAUCGGGUGCUGCCCCUCCCGCACUAGCCUGCAUUUAUAACCUGCACACAAGGCUACACCUCAGAUCAAGAUGGAACAUACUGCAGACCUAAGAAAAAUAAAACCAGAAAACUGUGGACAUCUUUAUAAAGUCUCAAGAAGCCUUUAUACAAAACAGACAACAACUUUACAAAGGAUAAAAUAAUGUUUUUUUUAAACUACUACCUGCAUUAAAUUUAUGGAGGUGUGGAGACACAACUAGAAAUAUAUAAAGAGGUUUUUUUUUUUUUUUUUUUUUUUU
Long non-coding RNA from Alexandromys fortis (reed vole), 1080 nucleotides. RefSeq lists it as uncharacterized. The transcript is spliced from 2 exons. The record is from RefSeq and is a predicted model, not a curated record. NCBI's taxonomy places the organism in Eukaryota, Metazoa, Chordata, Mammalia, Rodentia, Cricetidae.